CUAGGAAUCUUGGGAAUGCGCGAAAGCGUGACCCAGCAACGCCGCGUGGGCGAUGAAGGCCUUCGGGUCGUAAAGCCCUUUUGCAGGGGACGAUAGUGACGGUACCUUGCGAAUAAGCCACGGCUAACUACGUGCCAGCAGCCGCGGUAAUACGUAGGUGGCAAGCGUUGUCCGGAUUUACUGGGCGUAAAGGGCGUGCAGGCGGUCUGUUAAGUUCAGGGUGAAAGCUCCCGGCUCAACUGGGAGAGGUCCUUGGAUACUGGCAGACUUGAGGGAGGUAGAGGAGAGUGGAAUUCCCGGUGUAGUGGUGAUAUGCGUAGAUAUCGGGAGGAACACCAGUGGCGAAGGCGGCUCUCUGGGCCUUUCCUGACGCUGAGACGCGAAAGCGUGGGGAGCGAACCGGAUUAGAUACCCGCGUAGUCC
RNAcentral lists this ribosomal RNA (423 nucleotides) under uncultured bacterium. RNAcentral's name for it is "bacterial SSU rRNA". It matches the Rfam family "Bacterial small subunit ribosomal RNA", at positions 355 to 796 of the family's 1533-position model. The record is from RNAcentral.